Molecule: long non-coding RNA, 1738 nt
Organism: Pongo pygmaeus (Bornean orangutan)
Lineage: Eukaryota; Metazoa; Chordata; Mammalia; Primates; Hominidae
Exons: 2
Source: RefSeq, a predicted model, not a curated record
GUAGCGCGCGUGCGCGAUCGCCGAGGCGCGCUGUCUGGGUGGUGGGAGCUCAACCCGCAGCCGCGGCUACCGUUCUCUUGGCUCCUGCCCCCGCCUUAGUCGCUCUGCGGGGUUGGUUCGGUCCCGGCACUUCCAGAGGCCUCAGGGUCCUGGUCUUGUAGAGACUUCCUGAACGGUGGCGCCUGUUCUAGUGUGUGUGCGCUAACUGUCUGUUCUGUGCCAGCCGCGCGCGGCCAAGGGCGGGAGGACGGGGGUUGUGGAGGGGAGGAUGGAAGUUGGGGAGAGAGGGCGGGGACGAGAUAGGAGCUCGGGGGUGGGGAGGAUGGUCGCGGGGCGGUCCGGGGCUGGGGACGAUGGGCCUGAGGCGCGGGUACGCACUGAACGUUCCAACCGUCCCCGGCCGGCCGGGUUUCAGGUUUGAAAAGGUGGGAAGGUUAGCUGUCCUGGCGCUUUUCCUCCACGUGUUGUGCGGCUCCGCUGGAGUUCGGGUCCAGCACCUUCUACUCCGAGGGAGAGAGCCGCGGGGAGAGCCAUGUUCGGGCCCGAGGCUCGAACUGACCGCCGGCUCUGCAGAGCAGCCUCGACCCCAGGGCACCCCCGGGAGGGAGGGCGCGGCUCAGGUUCCUGCCCGAACCCCUGGGGUGCUGAGACUCCCCAGCGCCCCGCGUGGGCUCCCGGCCUCUCCACAGUUGAGGAUCCUGUAAAGAGCGAGCCCUUUUCCCGUGAUGGCUGUAGUGAGUGGAUGUGCUUUCCCGAUUGACCCGCUGGGAGUAGAAAUGUGGUUUACAGCUUCUAUCAGGAUUAGCUUCAGCUUCAAGUGACAAAAGUCCAAAAUAUGAGUUGCUGAAACAAGUCUCUCCCCUCAACAGGACUGUUACAACACAUUAUCUUCAGAGAACCAGGCUCUCUGCAACAUUUCAUGGUCAUCGUUCAGUACCUUAUGUGAAAUUCAAGUUUAGCUGGGCAUCCUGUAUUUUAAUUGGCUAACUCGUGGAACUCUCAACUUGGAUCAAGUGGCACUGGAGUCCCAGGGAUUCUGAGCAGCCAGUGUGUAAUACUGCCUGGCAGCACACCCUGGGGAGGCCAACUGUACAGAAUAAAAUUAAUGCUUUCUAUCUUUAGCAACUAAAGUUCUGAAAUAUAAAAAGGACCUCACAGCUUAACCCAUGUUAUAUGGUGGGGUUUUCCCAUGAACAUCACGCGUUUCCAGCUGGACACUCCUGCAGCAUGGCUAAGAUGACAACUCAAGUUUCCUGGGAGUGGGGGUUCCUGGGAUGUGAACCUUUCGGUGCAAAAACUGGAGAAGUUCCAGUUGGGACCUCAGGCAUAGAUACCAGGAUAAAUAGGGCCUCUCUCCUCCAGGAGCAUCAAUUUAACCCAAAGAUUCUUGGAGUCAGUUUCACAUAAGUAAUGUUGUUAAAAAUAGUAAUCCCAACAGAUCUAUUUUUCCAAAUGCACCAUUUGCAUAAAUCUCAGAAAAAAGACAACUUCAAGAACAUACCUUUGCUGGGCACCGUGGCUCACGCCUGUAAUCCCAACUACUUGGGAGGCUGAGGCAGGAGGAUCACUUGAGGCCAGGAGUCUGAGAUCAGCUUGGGCAACUGAUUUAUGGUUUGGAUUUGUGUCCAUGCCCUUCUUCUUCUGCCAUGAUUAUAAGUUUCCUGAGGCCUCCCUAGCCAUGCUUCCUGUACAGCCUACAGAACUAUGAGUCAAUUAAACCUCUUUUCUUUAUAAAUUA